GCGGGUGUAGCUCAGUUGGUAGAGCGCGACCUUGCCAAGGUUGAGGUCACGAGUUCGAGUCUCGUUACCCGCUCCA
Molecule: transfer RNA, 76 nt
Filed under: Deinococcus roseus
Lineage: Bacteria; Thermotogati; Deinococcota; Deinococci; Deinococcales; Deinococcaceae
Also listed under: 3 other names
Description: tRNA-Gly
Rfam family: tRNA
About the family: Transfer RNA (tRNA) molecules are approximately 80 nucleotides in length. Their secondary structure includes four short double-helical elements and three loops (D, anti-codon, and T loops).
Source: RNAcentral